Molecule: unclassified non-coding RNA, 239 nt
Filed under: uncultured fungus
Lineage: Eukaryota; Fungi
Description: sequence contains ITS1, 5.8S rRNA gene
Rfam family: 5.8S ribosomal RNA (bases 191-239)
Source: RNAcentral
UUUCCGUUGGUGAACCAGCGGAAGGAUCAUUACAGAGAUCAUGCCCUCACGGGUAGACCUCCCACCCUGUGUUAUAUACUAUUGUUGCUUUGGCAGGCCGCCUUCGGGCUCCCGGCUUCGGCUGGGGUGCGCCUGCCAGAGGACCCCAACUCUGUGUUUAGUGUCGUCUGAGUACUAUAUAAUAAGUUAAAACUUUCAACAACGGAUCUCUUGGUUCUGGCAUCGAUGAAGAACGCAGC